Molecule: long non-coding RNA, 3280 nt
Organism: Passer domesticus (house sparrow)
Lineage: Eukaryota; Metazoa; Chordata; Aves; Passeriformes; Passeridae
Exons: 3
Source: RefSeq, a predicted model, not a curated record
GUACAACUCUGUGAGUGAGGCUGAGGCACAAUUGUGAUCAUGCUGCUCUGUAUCUGCUGCCCGCAGCUGGGAUUCUCACACCAGGGACACUUCACCUAAAUGCAACACCAAGCUCCAUGGUGGAAGAGUCAAUUCAUGCUGAGUCCUGGAUGGAUUCCCCAGCUGUUGAAGCCAGUGGAGCUGGGGAUCCCAAUGUGCCUGCCUGGAGCAGCAGCAGCAAACAGGGAAGGUGGAACAAGCUGUGCUUCACCUGCAGCAUGGCCCCAUGGCAAAGGGGCUGCCUGCUCUGGGAAACACUUGGGACUAUUUACAGCAUGCACAGGGAGAGGAUUCAGAGAAGCUGGAGAAGUUUUGUAAAGCACAGGAGAGAGGAAAAUCAAAUGGCCUGCUUGGAGGAUUUAUUGGGAAGUGUAACUGAGAUCCCUUUUUAACUCAGAUUUGUCUGUCAGCAUGGGAUAAAAUCUGGUUUGUGCUACAGCAGUUAUUAAUAGAAGAAUCACAUUUCCUUAGAAAAAAGGAGAAGCAAGAGGGUAAUUUUGGCCAAGUUUGCCAAAGCAAAUUGCAAAGAUUUGCAAUUAAUCUUGAGAGGAAUGUAUUAGAUUUUUAUUUUAAAGAUCAGAUUAUAGAGGAGAUCUGCUAGAUUUGUACAAUAUUUAUUCAAGUACAUAUACAGAGAGGAGAAAACAAUGUAUCUGCAUCUGUAUGCACUCUUGUCACUUAAUAUUCUGAAAUUCAAUAUUUAGGGAUGAAACACUAUAUUCAACACCCUCAUCCUCUCAGGUCCAGCAUAGCUUUGGGAAGUUGGCAUUCCUUGUCACAAAGUGUUCAUUUUUAGAGUGCCAGUUUGGGUUGCAGUGACCUGCUGUGAGUGUGCCCAGCUUGGCUGGGGUGGGAAGGGGCUCUGCCUCGGGGACGUGCACCCUGCCACCACCACUGCUCCUGCUGCCCUGCAGCCAGGUGGAAAGCUGGCCGAUGACAGCAGCCACCCUGCUGGCUCUUUCUCUGUAUUAUCAGAACAGAGAUUAUUAUUAUUAUUGUCCUGUAUUAUCAGGACAGAGAGAUCCCACUAAGGACACCUCCAGUCUCAUCUCCAGCACCAUUCAGCAAUCCAGCCAGUUUUGGGGGUGAGAAAGAUUUCUUCCCUUAUUUGCAACUUUCUUUCCUUCUCUUGCCCAUACUUCCUGCUUUUCACAGCCGUAGUUGUAAAAGAAUUUCAGGAAGUGAAUCUAUUAUCAGUCUUUACAGAUGUUUCUUCAACUUCUUGCCCCUUUCUGAAGCAAAUCUGUUUCCUUUGAAGAUGCAGUGCCCCUUUCCACGGCCCCGGUGGGAGUUCAGCAUCCCCUGAGCAGGGCUGUGACUGGCCUCAGGAACACCCUGGUGAAGUUCUGGCUGGACAUGUGCUGCUGUGUUCCUGUCUGCUCAGGAAAAGUGUGACACUGUGGUUUCCUUCGUAAGAAACGUAUCUCUGUUGAGAAGGAAACAUACUUCCUUUAGAAAAACGGUGUCACGAAGAAACCCACAGGCCAUUCAGAGCAGGGCUGUGUGUGCCAAGGCCUGUGCCCCGUCCCCCCGGGCACGGCCUGUGCUGGGUCAGUGUGCCACGAGAACCGUGUCACCCAGCACAGGUGACUGCCCUGCCUUUCUGUGCCAUGCUCUCCCUCUCAGCAAACUCCAGGAUGCUGGACAAAAGAAAAGGGAUUACUGUGCAGAGGAAGAAGUAAAGCAAGGAAGAGUGAAAUUAGUAGGAAAGAAAUGGCAGAGUGCAAUGUAAGAUUCAGGUCUCCUGAGACUGUUUUUUGUGCUGCUCUGUUACAUCCUACUGCCAUUUAUGAUGAUCCUUUUCUAGAAAUAGAUGGUGAAUUGGAGCAAUAGAGAUGAGGUUUAAUUUAUGUAUUGGCUAGUGACGUUCAUCUGUUUUUUGUUGGUUGCAUUGUCCAAGGUGCCAAAAAUAUCCUUUUCCUAGAAGAUAUUUCUAAACCGUUUAUCAGUUUAAAAACGUCAAAGAUGAGCAAAUCAGUUGGGAUAUUUAAUUUUUGCAUAGUCAUUCAGCAAAGAUCACUGCAAAGGCUUUAUCCUCCACAGUUUUUAAUUUCAUGUAGAUAAGCAAAAGCUACAUUAAUCUUUUCCCUGUUGUGCUUAGCAGGGGUCACCAUACCCAUUAACUUUUUGACCCACGUGUGUCUCAGCCUGGUUGGUUUGGGGCUGUGCAGUGAGGUACCAGUGGGAGAUCUUGGAGCUAUUGGUGCAAACACCUUAUGUAUCCAGGUUCUCUAGAGAGCAGAAGAAAUUGCUUUACUUUAAUCUCCUCAUUCAGUGUGAAAAAAAAAAAUUAUAAUCUGAAAAUCAAAAUUUACAAAUACAGUCUUGGCAAGAUUGAUCAUCCUGUGUUUUCGUCAUGGUGAUUUUAAUAAUGAAAUUUGUUUAUUAUUAUUGCUACAAGUAUUGGGGAAUUUUCUUCUGCAAAAUGCAUCUCUUAAUUCAGCACUCAGCAAUCACCACUUCUCUCUAAAUCUGUGGUAUCUUGCCUGCUAAUACAAGAUAAACCUGUGGCAUAAAGAGGCAGGAAUAACAGGAUCAGUAAAGAACUACAUUUGGAUUAGAGUCUCUUGAUACCUUUUGCUUUUAUCUGUAUGCCAUUGGUAUAAAUGAUCAUUAUCAUAAUUAAACAAAAAGGCACAGUGUGAAUUUUUUAUUCCCUUGAUGAUGCCACAGAAACAAUAUAUAUGAAAUAAAUGUGAGAGUUGCUAUAAAGUCAACUUCCACAGUAGCUUUUAAACUUUGCUGCAGAAGUCUUUGGUGGUUGUGCCAUUCAUAGUGAAUAAAUCUCUUGCUUUUUAAUUCAUCGUAUAUUUUGGAGCUAUGAAAUUAAUAUUUACAGCUGUGUUAUUGUAUUGCUGUGUUAUUCAUUACUGUACUAAUGAAUAGUUCAUCAUCAAUAGAAAUAACAUUAUAUUCUCCUACAGCUUACUUAGUCAAUGCUAUUUAUUUCUAUUAUGUUAUUUCAGAAAUCCUCACCUUAACAGCACUUGGAAAUCUGUAAAUAUUAUGGUGCUUUUGGGCAGGACUUGAAAUGCUCAGUAGCUUCAGAAUUACAGACCAGUUUCCCUUUGUUAGAAUAUGUGAGCUACACAUAAUUUUAAAUAAAAUUAGUAUACCAGGUGUCAUGUGUAGAGCAGGGUGUGUCUUAACACAUUGUAUGAAAUGUGGUAUUUUAGACAAUAUUUCACUCCAAAGAGAUAUUUCAUUUAAACCCUUGAUGAUUUUGUAUUUGCCUCUUAUU